This is a long non-coding RNA of Perca flavescens (yellow perch), 256 nucleotides long. RefSeq lists it as uncharacterized. The transcript is spliced from 3 exons. Lineage: Eukaryota; Metazoa; Chordata; Actinopteri; Perciformes; Percidae. The record is from RefSeq and is a predicted model, not a curated record.
AGGCGCAGGCUGAGUCUCAGAGACUGGAAGAUUUGACCAAUCAACUUGGUUGCCCUGAGAACAUGGUGCAUCAGUGGGUUCAUGAUGUCAGAGAAUGGGCUUCUGAUGAUUCUGCAGGUACCAGAUGUGAUGACCAACAACCUCUUCAGGAAUCAAUUGAAGAAAUGUUCCUUGCGGUUCAUCACAGAAAAGCCAGCCUUUAUAAUCAGACUGACAGCAACAAAAUCCGACAGUUGCGACGAAGGAAAUUGGGGAA